GUUCCAUUCGACAUCAUAGAUGGCCUACUAUAUAUAUUUUAUCACAGUUUUACUUUACGCCGAAUCGCACGGAUAUCACCUCCACAGAUUUCGUUGAAUCGUCGCAGUUCGCAAGGUAAUGGGACAGAUAUGGCCCAUAUUGAGGAUCGAUGGCCAAACCUCGACAUUUUACGAAAUGCUUUCGACUUCCAUCACCAAGGGCUGACAAUAAGGGAGUCUUAAGUCGAAUAUCGUUUUUAAUGGAUAGCACGAUCCAUUUUUACGACGAUCAGACGUCUCCGGCCCGCGAUGAGAAUUUAAAAUCUCGUUGGAUAUAGGUUACGUUCGAUGUAUCGUUGAUGGAAUAUCGAUCGAAGAUGGAGGUCUCCUGGUAAUCUUUGUGACUGGAUAAAGUUUAAAAAUGGCUGUUCAUUUUUAUAAAAGUUUGAAGUUUGCUGGAAAAGUGUAUCACGUUCUUGAGGUACAAAUGGUGUUUUUAGCCGGUUGAAUGGGAGCAUUGGACGUUGUUCGGGAAUGCGUGGAGCGCAAUGUUGGAAUAUUGAAGAUCGAGAUACCUCUUAUAUUGUAUAUUUUCAAGAUUCAAUGGAGUUGGAAGGAAAUGGAUAUUCGUUUUCGUGGAUAUUUUCUGUUAAAAUAAAAGUAAAUUCGAUUGUAAAAGAAUACGAAAGAUUCGUUACAUGUUUCUUAGUUUAAAUCUCUUAUCUGAUGCAGCAGCAACCAACGAACGAAAGAAAAAGAAAAAAGAAGAGAAACAAAAUUUCAAACGAAAAUUCCUCACGAAAUCCGCAAAAUUGAAUGCUCAAAUAUCGCGUAAUUAAACGUGGUCAUUUGAAAAUCGUGCAAGACGAAUUAAACCCAUUAAAAUGGGGAAUUAACACGUUAGAGGAUGCGAUUCGUUUCGUUAUUUGUAGCCAUGUCAACGCGCAUGGAAAAAAUACAAGGAGGAGAUCCAUAGAUAAUACGUUAAGUUAGGGGUUUGUGGUUUCUUUUAAUUGCCAGUAGGAAAAGGGGUGAACCUCGUUGACUUUUGUUCCAUCUUUUUACAGUUGGAUGGGGGAGAGAAAUUAAUGAUCCGCGUCUGUGUUUCGUACACGUCAUUAAUCUCGUCGAGUCGUCUCGUGGACCGAAGUAAAAAUACGCCUAGACAAGCAACGCCUACGUUCACUAUCGGCCAAUUAUUUUAUCCAUCACCCCCACGAGGGGUGAGACACGUUAAUUGUCCGCAACCGUAAAUCCUCCACGCUGCGUGAACACGUACAACAUUUUACACCGAGGGUUGUUACGUUUUUCGCGUUUGAGUUGCUUAUUUUAUGGUACGUUUGAGAAAUUUAGGAGGGUCUGAGGAUCGUUUUAAUGGAUCUUAUUAUCAAAUUUUGAAAUUUGUGGCGAAGAUAUUUUUCGUAUUUUCGAAUAUUUAUGUGUAUAGAUUUUGUUUUAAAUUUAAUAUUGAAUUUUGAAUUAUUUUAAAAUUUGUAUUAUUAUUCUUGUAAUUAAAUUUAAAUUUGGAUAUUUUAUUUUGUAGAAAUAGAUUAGGAUACAGUGAUUUUGUUUGAAAUUUGAAUGUUUCAAACUUUCAAAUCUUAAUCUUUAAAACUACUAUUUUUGAAAACAUAAAUUCUUAUUUUGAAACCUCGAAACUCUUCAAAUCUUUUUACUUUUGCAAUUUAAAACUCAAAUAAUAUUGUGACUUCUAAAUUUUAUCUUCUACCAAUAUUCGAAAUAAUUGAACAUUUGCAAAAUAUGCCAUCGACAAUUUGGUCGACAGAGCAAAUUUCAAACGAUCAGUCAGUGAAAUUAUUUCGCGUCUCAUCAUAUCCCCGACAACAUUCCUACAUAGCCUGAUAAAUUUCACCACAUUGGACAAUGUGUUCGCGUGUUCAUCUAUGGAGAUUACAACUUCCUCUCUUUCAACAACGACCGACAUCUCGUAAAUUUCCACGUAAUCAGAACCUUUAACAUAAUUUUGCCAACCAACAGGCAUUAGUUUUCCCGAAUUGUUCGCGAAUUAUGCUCUAUUCAAAGUUUCCAUAAUAAAUAUACGUAACUAUAGGCAAACAGCAGCGUAAUCAGAAUGCUUGGAAAGGAAUAUCUCGAAUCAUUUCACGCCCCAAAGAUAAUGUCUAGAAAUAAUUAAUCUGCUUUUUAUUGCGUAUUUUUAUGUGUAAUAAACGCUCGAAGAUCCUUCCAUUUCCACUCGUUUCACCGUGUGUUCGAUAAUUUGAUUCUUCCACUCGAAUUAUCCUUAAAAUUCCUUGUUAUUGGAUCAAGUUUGUUUCUCUGGAGCAAUGGAUAUUGAACAAUGCACGCAUUGAGUUAUAUUAAAAAAUUAAAAUUUAGCAAAUUUUUCCUUUUUUUUUUUGUUUAAGGAAAUAUGUUUUUUUUCAGUAUUAAGCUCAAAGGAGCAAAUUUAUUUUUCGUAAUUAUUUUUUCAUAAAUUUUUGAAGUAUUAAAUUACCACCAAUUUAUAAUAUUAAAAUAUGAUAGAAGAAAUUAUUUUAUAUUGACAACGAGUAAUGAAAUUUAUAUGGUUUAAUUUGUCGAUUCAUUAUUAUUUUAUCAAUCAAAUACAAAUGUAAUUAUCAAGACAAAUGUAAUCGAAAAUUUCUAUAAACGUUAUUUUAUUUUUAUAUCACGCGAAAGAUAUGAUAAAUUCGAUUUAUUCACGUUAAAUUAUUUUUUUCCUAUCUUGUUAUAUUACCUUUAACAGCUCAAAAUCGUUCUUGCUGCAAACUUCUCGAAAUUAAGUAAAAUAAAUGAAAUGAAGAACACGAAUAACUUUUUGAUCAAAAAGUUAAUAUUAUAAUUUGACGGAUUACACCCAUAAAGGGGUUAAUCGAACUUAAUUAACCCAAUAACAACGUUCGUCAAGUUUUUAAGCAGAUUUCAGCCCAAGUGUUAAGCAAAUUCCUCCAACCAAUCUCUCUAUUUUAAGUUUUACACUUCGCGAAGUUCGAGCGUGAAAUUCGUGAGUUAAAAUUUUUAAGAAAAAAAAAUCAUUUUAUCCUUCUCCCACAUCUGUAGAACAAUUUUCGAAACACAGUGGGCGAAGAAAGAAAUUACAAGUUGUCCCCUCCCCUCCCCUCCUCAACGAGGAACGACGAUAAUGUUUCUCCUCGCAUUAAAAGUUUUAGCGAGCCCGUAUUAAAUUGAAUUUACCAGGCGAAGUUUAUUCGCAACUUUAUAUGUCGGAAUUUUGGUGUUUUUAAAAUUGUGGAACUAAUCGUGGCAAUUUUUAUUGCUUCGAUAUAUUAAUUCGACGAAAUUUACGAAUGGAUGAAUAAGGUAAUUUUUAUAAAUGGAUACAUGACAUUGAGAACGAUUGUCGACGGAAAUAAGUUUUUUAAAUGCAAUUUGUGAAAAAAUAUCGUUCGGUGUAAAUCUCGAGAGUUUCAAAUGGACUCGCACUCUUGUUCGUUGUAGCAAUGAGGGAAACAGUUGGUCUAAUGCACGCCAUUUUUCUAGACACCUCCAACUAACCGUGGAAAAGAGAAAAAUAAAAUUAUGAUAUCUUUUUUUUUUUUAUAUAUCUCGUAUAUUUCCAAGAUUUUAAAAAUCCUUCGAAUGAUUUACAGAAGUUUUUUAAUUAAUCUCUUUCGUUUCGAUACUCGAAAUUAUUCAAUAAUAAUAUGAAAAUAAUUAUAUAAUAUCGAAUUAUUUACAAAGUUCGAAAUUCACGCGAAACACAGAUAAUCCGUUAAAAAUAACAAUUAUACGCAUUAAAAACAAUAAAAAUACAAUUAUAAUGAAAUAAGACGUAAAUACAAUCUAAUCUCCAACGAUGAAUUACAUUCAUGUAUCACAAUGUAAAUUAAUCCUUUUAACGUGAUUUUUCCAUGGAAAACAAUCCCAAUCAUUGGACACGAUUGCGCAUAGAUCGAAAAAAUGGCAGCCUCCUCCUCUUCCAUUCGAUCUCUUCGAUUGAUUCACCUGCGAGACCAUUAAUUACAGAGGGGAAGUCGGCUGUUACCAUUAUUCGUGGAUCGUUAAGCGCAAAUUGAAGAGCUCGACGAUUUCGUAGCGGUUGCACUUUCUUCGAGCUUGAAUCACGCUUAAUUGCCCCAUCGUGCAAGCUUAACACGAGAAUACGUGUGUCGUUGCGGAGGGGGGCGCAUUCGUCGCAGGCGUUUCAUUGGCUUCUUUUUACCCCCACUUCCUUAAAAUUAACGAAUCGUUCUUCGGAUUCUUCGUGACUUUCGCGUGACUUUCUCUUGGAGAGACGAUUUCAGACGAGUUCUUUUAAGAAGAAAUUCCUUCUUUGAGAGAGAAAGAGAGAAAGAGAGAGAGAGAGUUGUAUUUUCAAUUAAUUAUCCUUUGUAAUUCGAGAUUCUACGAUUUGUAUUUCUUUUUAAGGGAGAAUUCUAUUUUGUAUUUUCAAUUAGUUGUUCUUUGUUGUUUGGGAUUGUUUGCAAUUUGUAUUUCUUUGUGGGGAGAAGAGUUUAUUUUUAAUCAAUUGUUCCCUGUUAUUUGGGAUUCUGAAAAUUUUUCUUUCAACAGAUUGUAUUUUUAAUUAAUUAUUAUCGAGUAAUUCGAGAAAUUCUUUUGUAUUUCUUUAUCGAAGAAUUAAAGGUUUUCAAAUAGCGUACGAGGAAAUUAUAUAUAUUUCACUUCGAUCAACUGGAAUCAACUAUUAUGAAUAUUUCUCUCUUGUUGUUAUUUUAUCGGAAUUAUAUUUUAAAAGUGGAUACGCAGAGUAACGAAUUCACAAUACCUUCAUUUCAAUCGUGAAAGGGAAGAUGCAAAAGACAAUUACUGGAAACACUUAAUGGAAACAAUGGCGCACGUUGUACGAAUUAAAACGUAUUAUAACAAAGCGUGAAUAUAAUAGAUUUAAAAAACUCGAAAGAUAUUCAACCCCUUCACCGUAUUGUAUAAUUUUUCAUUCACGAUUCAUCAAAUCGAUUCUACUACGACGUACGUAAGUACAUUCGAGAAUGAAGCUUCGUUGCAAAUAAUUAUUACGAGUGAUAAAAAUUGGAAAAACACGGCAAGUCUUGAUAGAAUUUUAAUUUAGAUCUUUUGACAACAACAAACAAAUUUAAGAUCUUAAAAACUUUUUUUCCGCAUCAAUUGAUCCAAUUUAUCUCGACUUAAAGUGGACUAGAAAUAUUGAAACGUAUUGCAAUGCAGAUAUUGUGCCAAGUGAUGGGUUUAAAUCAAUGGUUCGAACGAAUGUUGGAAGUGACUUAAACCCAUCAUUCGCAUAACAAAUAAUGUAUAAUAUAUAAUGCAAUAUCUAUUUAAUUCUCAUAUCUUAUAUCAUGCGCGUAUUUGCUCGAAUUAUAUUUGCGAUAUUAUCGAUUCGUAUUUCAUUUUAUCGUUAAUUGUAUUUUUCGAAAAACUGAAAUUAAAAUAGAAUACCGAUUUGAAAAUAAUCCGUCAUUUUAUCCGUUGUCGAAUCUACGAAAAAAGUUAGUCCGCUUUUUGUUACUAGCUAGCUACGUUUAACCCCGGCUGUAAUAAAUGGGAAAAGUUUUAAUCGUGACGAUGCUUUUCUGCCUUAUUGGGCAGAGUUUCGCCUAUAAAAUAUUAUAAUUUUUCCAAGGAGAAUAUCCUCGUGAAAUUUUACAAAGGACAUUUGCAACUUUAUAAUUCGUCGAUAUGAUUCGAACGAAUGUUAAAUAUUUAAAAAUAUAAUUUCAAUCGAUAUCGUUUUUUCACGAUGUAUCUUUAUCUAUAUUUUUACAAUAAUUAAUAAUUAAUAAUUAUUAUUUUAAUAUUAUAAUACAAUAUUAUACGUAAUUAUAAUAUAUUAUAUAUUAUAUUUAUAUAAUACAAUAUAUAAUAUAUAAUAUUAUAAUUAAUAUUAUUAUAAUAUUAUAAUAUAUAAUAUAUAAUUAGUUACAAUAAUUAAUUUAAAUGAUAUUCAAUAAUACAAUAUUCUCGCGAGGAGCGAAGAGCAACACGUCCGUUCCGUUCCGCGUUCGA
Apis cerana (Asiatic honeybee) is the source of this 5925-nucleotide long non-coding RNA. RefSeq lists it as uncharacterized. The record is from RefSeq and is a predicted model, not a curated record. Lineage: Eukaryota; Metazoa; Arthropoda; Insecta; Hymenoptera; Apidae.